AUCCAGCCGACGAGUCCCAAAAGGACGAAACGCGCGUCCUGGAU
RNAcentral lists this non-coding RNA (44 nucleotides) under Schistosoma bovis. Lineage: Eukaryota; Metazoa; Platyhelminthes; Trematoda; Strigeidida; Schistosomatidae. The record is from RNAcentral. RNAcentral also lists the same sequence under 1 other name.